Molecule: long non-coding RNA, 4343 nt
Organism: Passer domesticus (house sparrow)
Lineage: Eukaryota; Metazoa; Chordata; Aves; Passeriformes; Passeridae
Exons: 3
Source: RefSeq, a predicted model, not a curated record
CUCUGUAGAGACGAAGGUCAGUGGAGAGGGAGUAGUUCAUGAAAAUCUGCCCAUGGGAAAAACUUAGGUUGGAGAAGUUCAUGGAGAGCUGUCUCCUGUGAGAGGGAUCCCAUACUGGAGCAGGGGAAGGGUUUGAGGAGUUCUUCCCCUGAGGAGGAAGGAGCAGCAGAGACAAAAUGCCUUGAGGUAACUGCGUGCCCCGUUUCCUGUCCCCUCAUACUGUUGGGGAUGGAGGUAGAGAAAUCUGGAGUCAAGCUGCGCCUGGGAAGAAGGAAGGGGCACUCAUAUGGUAUCAGUCUAAUGAUCAGAAGAUUUUACUUGGUGUUACACUAUUUUCAGGUGAAAAGUUGCAUGGUUGCUGCUCUCUCUCCAUGACUUCUGGAGAAUUUUAUCAACUACCAGUUUUGAAUUCCAGAAAGGAAGGCUCCUUUCACCUCUGACUAAGAAGAAGUGUACGUUAAUAACUACAGCAAUUUGCUGCAAAUAAACAAGGAGACCAUCCUCUGAUUUCCUCUGUAAGGCCUGGUCAUAAUGAGUGUACAAUGCAUGGAAGGAGACAGCUGAAUGGCAGGAACAACUCCCUCUGCAUCUCAGGAAACAGGAGCAUGCAUGUUCAGUCUGUUUGGAAUCUGAGUGGAUUUUGCCUGCUAACACCUGCUGAAAGUGUUAGCUCACACUCUGAGCUAAGAUGCAUCUGUAGUCUACUGCAGCCAUGCUAAAAGGUUUCCAAACAUAUAAGCUAAGAGCCAUGUCUAGUCUUUCUGGUGCAGAUGACUUUUCUACGCAAACAUGACAUAUCUAAAUUGAAAACUCAAGUAUAUGUUGUAAUAAGUCUGUUACAUCAGAAUAGAUGACUUUCAAUUGCAAAUCAUGUGAAAACCAGUCACAAAUAGUGAUCCAUAUCCCAUUCAAAGUCUUCUGCUUCAAUUUUCAGCUAAUAACAACUGACUGACAUCCUCUACUCAGAAGUACCAAUGCAACAACUCUAUAUGUUUUUUGGACAUAACUUACUGUACUUAAAAUAGAAUUUAUCUUAUUCUAAUAGUAAUUAUGCAGUCAGUAAAUAGCUAGACAGCUAAUAAGGCUGAGUAAUGCAAUGACCUGUGGUUUAAGAUUAACAUCAGGAAUAACGACCAACCUUUUUUCAGGAUAUAUAUGCCUAAUCUCCAUUUUCUCCACCUAGGAGAAUAGUGAUUAGAGUCAAGUUCCUGUCACACUCCAUGCUCUGCACUGAAUAGCAGAAAACAACCUACCAAAACAUAGCUGGCAUUGCACUGCCUCUGUAAAGCAAGGUGAGCAAUUUUACAUACAUAUAAAAGACAGAAUCUAGAUACUACAGUUCUUUUAUGUUAGGUACACUGAGAGGCAGGAUUUAAUCCUAUCCUUCAUAGAAUCAUGCUUUGACUGAAUACCACUAUGUCAAAUAAACCAAGCACUACGUGCCAUGUCUGGUUGCUUAUCGAAUACUGACAGUCCUGAUGACCACCUCCCUAGGUAGUCCAUACCAAUGCUUGACAAUUCUUCCAGUGAAUAAAUUCUUCCUGAUGUCUAACCUGAACCUCCCCUGGCAUGCUGGAGGCCAUUUCCUCUUUUCCUGUCACUGGUUGCCUGAGAGAAGAAGCCAACCCCAGCUGGCUACAGCCUCUUUUCAGGGAAUUGUACAGAGCAAUAAGGUCUCCCCUGAGCCUCCUUUUCUCCAGUCUAAACACCCUCAGCUCCCUCAGCUGCCCCUCACAGGACUUGCUCUUUCAACAAUUCACCAACCUCAUUGUCCUUCUCUGGAUACAGUCCAGCACAUCCACGUCUUUCUUGAAACGAGGGGCCCAGAACUGAACACAGGACUUGAGGUAUGGCCUCAACAAGGCUGACUGCAGAGGUCCAAUCUUUUCCCUAGGUGAUUGAACAAAGAUAUUCACUUUUUUAUGAUAUGCUCCAACAGAAUUGUUGUUCCCACUACCUGCUGAUCAAAUGCGGCUACAGAGUACCUAGAGUGCUGGAAGCACAUAAAAAUGUUCUUCCGAUGGAUUUCAAAAAUAAACUUUUUUAUUUCAUGGUACAGUGUGAAGAGUAUGGUCUGUAGGACAAGCACUGUGACAUGAAUCCUUUUGAUAGUGAAAAGCAAAAACAUUUUUCGGGAUCUGAACCAGGAGGAGGGAGAAAAAAUUAGGGCUGUCCCAUCCUUCUUUCCUGUUGCUAAGGAAUGAAGCAAGGAGCAAUCAAAACAAAUGCAAAGAAAUACCCUGUGAAACCUUAUUUCCAUAGUCCCUCUGAGUUUUCAUUGUUUUGCAAAUGUAUAUUUUAAAAUAUUUUAUGUCAGUCUGUGUAUAUUUCAAAUUUUUAGUGUUUAUUUUUGGCUUUGUCUUGUAAUGAUUAUGUUCUUUCAGGAUAAGACAAUGGUAAUCCAUUAACAUAUAACAUUUUGCUUUGUAUGCAUUCUCCAUCCAUGCAGUAAAUCAGAAGGUGUUCUUUGAAUUGCUGGAUGACAUGUAACCUUGUAACUUUGUAGAAAGUCUGUAAAGAAUUUUCAAAAUUUUCCUCCCAAGUUAGCAAUCUUUUUCAAAGUUUUAUUCAAGCAUUCAACCACUUUGUUGUCUUGAAGGCAGAAUGUUCUUCACUGCCUGCAUAUAAAACCCCUCCUUCUGAAAAUAUAAGAUUUUGACAAUCUUCUGAAAAAAAUUAGACCAUGUAUUGCAUGUUGAAAAUAUUAUAAUUUUAACAAUAAAUGUGGCUCAAAUUGAGUUUAUAAAUUUCAGAUAUCCUACAGAGGCAGUAGGAUAUCAGAUAUGUCAGUUGUGACCUUAAGUUCCAACACAAAAAAAAAAUAAUGUCUACACUUGAGGAAGAGUUGAUAAUUAUAUUAUAUAAAUUCAUGCAUUUUUUGUAUAAGACUGGAUUGAAACUUAGAUGACUUUAACUUCAACAUGUAAUUCUGCCCACUAGCACAGUUUUCACAGCUACAGUUUUGUCCCAAUAGCUGUUGAUGAUUUCCAUUAAACAAUUGUAUCCAUUGAAAAAUUAACAGCAACCAAGCCUGUCAUGAAUAUUUUGUAAGAAAAGUUCAUUUUAUAUAAUAAAAUAGAAUAGCAUAUAAAAUGAAUACAUAAAUUCUAUUCUAGAAUAGAAUGCUGUUGUAGACAUAAAUGAAAGUAUUUGAGAUUGUUGGGCCACUUUGUUAUCAGGAAAACACAUAAUUUCCAGGUGAAUGAGGUGUUAAAUUGUACUUCUAAACUGCUAUCCUUCACUGUGCAAGUAACUGUGCAAGUACUCUAUAUCAUCAUUUAUCUGGGCAUCUGGUAGAGAUAACAGUAGAUGAGAUAAGCAGCCAGCCAUCAAAAUUUCAGUUUCUGUUCUGUACUCCAUGUUACACAUUAAUGGAGGUACCCUUUCUGAUCAUCAGGCAAUUUUCAUUCCUGUUUAUCUAAAUCCUUUUAUUACUAAUGUCAUCAAGGAGUGUUGAUUUGAUUGUUCUGAUAGUUAGAAUCUAUAUACCCAAAGAUAGUAUCUUUGGUUUCCCAAAGCCCUUAAGUAAUACAUUGAUUAUUUUUCACAAGUGGGAUACAAUUUGUCAGCUGCUUCUCUUUAAGAGAUCUUGACAUAAAUAUUCUUCUUGGUUUGUCUUCAUGAGUUUAAGUAGGUGUGAAGCAAACUCUGCUUUCUUGUUAACAAUUGUCAUAAUGGUAGGUAACAUAGAAUCAAACUCUGUUUGUCUGUUCACACUGAAGUCUUUAAUCAGGAUGAACAUUUUUUGUCUUUUAUCUACCCAAAGGCAUGUUGGUGUUUUCCUGGAAAUAUUAUCUCAACAGCUUAACAUAUUAAAAUGUAGGUAGGAAAUAACUCCAUGAGAAUAUAAAAGUGUAAGGGAAUAUACCGUUUCUUAUCUGUGGUAGGAUGUGGCUCUGGUAACAAUUUAAGGUUCUUCUGACAAGUAAUGGUCCUAAGAAACUCAACUGCCUGCCUGAAACAACAUUUGGCAAAAUUUGAUUUCAGUCUUUCAAUGUUGUGGCACUGCAGAAUGAGCUAAGUAUCAGGAACCUUUUGAAGCGCAACAACAUCCAGGUGAAAUUGAAUGGAUUUCAUUUGUCCAAAAAAGACUGGAUGCUGAAGCAACUUUAUGUAGUACACACUUAAAAUAGAAAAAUCCAUCUUAUGUAACAAAUGCUGGGACAUUUCUGCUGCCUUAUGCAGCCUAAUUCAUUGAUGCAUGGUCUUGAAAACUAAAACUAUUAAAUGUCUGGACAUUGUUGACUUCUGCAACUUCUUCAGUGUAUGAAGUUCAAUUACCGCUUGUUGUCAAUCUGGUUCAGAUAAAAUAAUUAAAAUGUGUCAGAUUUCAGUAUAACUGA